This 164-nucleotide ribosomal RNA is filed under the name uncultured bacterium. RNAcentral describes it as "partial 16S ribosomal RNA". It matches the Rfam family "Bacterial small subunit ribosomal RNA", at positions 355 to 511 of the family's 1533-position model. The record is from RNAcentral.
UAGGGAAUCUUCCACAAUGGGCGCAAGCCUGAUGGAGCAACACCGCGUGAGUGAAGAAGGGUUUCGGCUCGUAAAGCCCUGUUGUUAAAGAAGAACACGUAUGAGAGUAACUGUUCAUACGUUGACGGUAUUUAACCAGAAAGUCACGGCUAACUACGUGCCGG